AUUUCUCUGAGAUGUUUGCAAGAGGGCCAGUCCCCUGAGCCGAUAUUUCAUACAACAAGAAUGUGGAGCGCCGCGGUUGGUGAGCAUGCACGGUUCGUCAGCGCAGCCUUAAAAAUGAGACGACACAGUCACAUUGAACCAAGCGUUCAAGGGUUAAAGCCUGAGGCGGCAUCUCGGAGAUUCA
This 184-nucleotide non-coding RNA is filed under the name Salmonella enterica subsp. enterica serovar Oslo. Its description in RNAcentral is "6S RNA". It matches the Rfam family "6S / SsrS RNA". Rfam says of the family: E. coli 6S RNA was the first non coding RNA to be sequenced, but its function was unknown until recently. It consists of 184 nucleotides that fold into an extended hairpin structure with a large single-stranded internal bulge. Lineage: Bacteria; Pseudomonadati; Pseudomonadota; Gammaproteobacteria; Enterobacterales; Enterobacteriaceae. The record is from RNAcentral.